This 481-nucleotide ribosomal RNA is filed under the name uncultured bacterium. Its description in RNAcentral is "partial 16S ribosomal RNA". It matches the Rfam family "Bacterial small subunit ribosomal RNA", at positions 28 to 507 of the family's 1533-position model. The record is from RNAcentral.
GACGAACGUUGGCGGCGUGCUUAAUACAUGCAAGUCAACUGAAGCAGUGGUAGCAAUAUCGCUGUGGAGGUGGCGCACGGGUGAGUAACACGUAGGUAAUCUGCCUUCAGGUCUGGCAUAACUCCGGGAAACCGGGGCUAAUAGCAGAUGAUGCAGCGGCUCGACAUCGAGACAGUUGUUAAAGCUAUGGCGCCUGAAGAUGAGCCUGCGUCUGGUUAGCUAGUUGGCGGGGUAACGGCCCACCAAGGCAACGACCAGUAGCUGGUCUGAGAGGAUGAUCAGGCACACUGGAACGGACACGCGGUCUAGACUCCGACGGGAGGCAGAAGUAAGGAAUAUUGCUCAAUGGGUGAAACACUGAAGCAGCAACGCCGCGUGAGGGACGAAGGUCUUUUGGUUGUAAUCCUCUGUAGGAAGAGAAAAAAGUCCAAAUCUUGGUGACAUGACGGUAUCUAAAAAGUAAGCCCCGGCUAACUACGUG